RNAcentral lists this ribosomal RNA (459 nucleotides) under uncultured bacterium. Its description in RNAcentral is "partial 16S ribosomal RNA". It matches the Rfam family "Bacterial small subunit ribosomal RNA", at positions 338 to 795 of the family's 1533-position model. The record is from RNAcentral.
CCUACGGGCGGCAGCAGUGAGGAAUAUUGGUCAAUGGCCGAGAGGCUGAACCAGCCAAGUCGCGUGAGGGAAGACGGCCCUACGGGUUGUAAACCUCUUUUGUCGGGGAGCAAAGCGAGUCACGUGUGACUCAUUGAGAGUACCCGAAGAAAAAGCAUCGGCUAACUCCGUGCCAGCAGCCGCGGUAAUACGGAGGAUGCGAGCGUUAUCCGGAUUUAUUGGGUUUAAAGGGUGCGCAGACGGAGGUGCAAGUCAGCGGUCAAAUUUCGGGGCUCAACCCCGUACUGCCGUUGAAACUGGAUCCCGUGAGUACGGGAGAGGUAUGCGGAAUGCGCAGUGUAGCGGUGAAAUGCUUAGAUAUUGCGCAGAACUCCGAUUGCGAAGGCAGCAUACCGGCGGCGAUCUGACGCUGAGGCACGAAAGCGUGGGUAUCGAACAGGAUUAGAUACCCCGGUAGUC